RNAcentral lists this ribosomal RNA (305 nucleotides) under uncultured bacterium. Its description in RNAcentral is "bacterial SSU rRNA". It matches the Rfam family "Bacterial small subunit ribosomal RNA", at positions 333 to 630 of the family's 1533-position model. The record is from RNAcentral.
GUAAGCCUACGGGGCGCAGCAGUAGGGAAUCUUCCACAAUGGGCGAAAGCCUGAUGGAGCAACGCCGCGUGGGUGAAGAAGGUCUUCGGAUCGUAAAACCCUGUUGUUAGAGAAGAAAGUGCGUGAGAGUAACUGUUCACAUUUCGACGGUAUCUAACCAGAAAGCCACGGCUAACUACGUGCCAGCAGCCGCGGUAAUACGUAGGUGGCAAGCGUUAUCCGGAUUUAUUGGGCGUAAAGGGAACGCAGGCGGCCUUUUAAGUCUGAUGUGAAAGCCUUAGGCUUAACCGGAGUAGUGCCUUGGA